This 284-nucleotide ribosomal RNA is filed under the name uncultured Veillonellaceae bacterium. RNAcentral's name for it is "partial 16S ribosomal RNA". It matches the Rfam family "Bacterial small subunit ribosomal RNA", at positions 74 to 339 of the family's 1533-position model. Lineage: Bacteria; Bacillati; Bacillota; Negativicutes; Veillonellales; Veillonellaceae. The record is from RNAcentral.
UUCGUCCAAGUGAAGUAGAGGACAGUGGCGGACGGGUGAGUAACGCGUGAGGAACCUGCCUUUCAGAGGGGGACAACAGUUGGAAACGACUGCUAAUACCGCAUGACAUAUAGAUGUCGCAUGGCCCAUGGAAGAAAAGGUGGCCUCUACCUGUAAGCUAUCGCCUGAAGAGGGGUUUGCGUCUGAUUAGCUGGUUGGAGGGGUAACGGCCCACCAAACCUUCGAUGGAUAGGGGUUCUGAGAGGAAGGUCCCCACAUUGGAACUGAGACACGGUCCAAACUCC